AAGCAACGGAGGGGAGCGCGGCGGCGGGAGGCUCUUCGUGGGGCCGGCGACGACGAGGCGCAGCACGGCUCGAACGGAGGAGACGACGAGAGGGGCAGCUAGAGCGGGGAGCGGUGGCCGGGAGUUCAAAACCUCCCAGUUCCACCUGUUCCUCUAGGUACUCGUCGGCGGCGGCGGGCAGGAGGAUGAAGCGGUAGUUCCUCUCCUCGUAUCCUCGUACAGGAGUGCAAGCACAAGGAGGCUCUUCUCCUGUUUAGCUCCGUUCACAGCCUUGCUCCUCUGCUCAGACCACCUCUACUACUCUCCUUGCCUCUGUUCCUACCGCUGAACUACGAGGAGCCUCUGGAGGAGACCUCUACAACUCCAAACUGGUCACACCGGUGGUAACCCCCUCAGGUGAUUGGCUCCGGGGUGAUCUACUGUUUGGUGUGGUAUAGGUAUACUUAGGGUUCAAUUAAGGGGUGGCCUAUUUUACACCGGUACCGACUGGAUUAUGACCGACUCACUAUCCUAACAAGACGUAUGAUCUUCCACUUUGAGACAACGGGACAUUCUUUUAAACAAACAUCACCUAAAUAGAACUAAACCAAGAUUUUCCUUCUCUGACUCUCUCCUAGUACAAGAACGACUCCAAGUCAAGAGAUUCAACCAUCACAAAUUUGCUGUGUGUUGUAAAAAUUUGUAGAGGAGGGUCGAAGUACCUUUAAAGUGACAGAUAACGUAGUUGUGACAGAUGACCGUACACAACGUGGAAACUAGUACUAGUCUUAUAUUAAACUAACGGAGACCUACAAAAGAACAUAUACGACCUAGAUUAUUUAUUGUGAAAAUAGAUGAGCGGAUUAACAAAAUAAAAGUGACAAGACGUCCCAAACCAACCUACAACGUUGGGGUGAUACCAAGAUUGAAACAGAUGGAGACAAAUCUUACGUUAACUCUUAACCAGUUAUUUGUAAGUGACCCUCAAUCCCCGACGAUGCCAAUACACGAACUAACCAAAACAAUCAAGGUAGGUCUAACACGAAACGUCCGAGAAAGUAAAGUAUAGACCCGCUGCUCCCGCCGAAGCUGCCCCAGAUGUGCUGUAAACAGGCGUACGAGCUACGAUUCCCGGCGGUAGCGGCAGUUCCCUGAGUUGGUCGUGCCGGAGAUCCAGUCCUGUGAGGUGGAACGUAAGUGGAUACACGUCAAAUGAAAGUAGCAGUUGGUACACCGAAUUCAAUUCGAACCGGUCGUUUAAUGUACCGAGAAGUAGUCGCAGUACUAUUACAGCAGAUUGUUCGAGCGUACACCUACACGAUUACUAGCCCUAUACUACUUUCCGUUUCUGCUAACCGUACAAAACAGGCCAGACGACUUCAAAUCCACCCGUUCCAGUGUGUUAAACCCAAUAACUAUAGUAAAACCCUGUAAUAAAGCUUGUUGGAGAUAAAGAUUUACAAACGUUUCCGAUUAAACGUACCAAAAGUAAAAACCUCCAACAUGGUACCGACGAAAGUUAGAAAGGAAGACAUAAUAAAAACACACAAACGACCUCACUUAAAAUCAGAAACAAGUGAAAAGUAUAAUUGUAAAUUUUAUGGUACCUUUGCCUGGACCGGUAUAUAAACGUCAUAGUUCGUUUAGGAAAACAACAAAUAACAUUGGUGUAAGGACACAUAAUUUAAAUAAAGUCGAUACAUACGAAUCACAUAUACAUAUUUCACCCC
RNAcentral lists this ribosomal RNA (1709 nucleotides) under Triticum aestivum (bread wheat). RNAcentral's name for it is "partial small subunit ribosomal RNA". The record is from RNAcentral. Lineage: Eukaryota; Viridiplantae; Streptophyta; Magnoliopsida; Poales; Poaceae.